Molecule: non-coding RNA, 24 nt
Filed under: Arabidopsis thaliana (thale cress)
Lineage: Eukaryota; Viridiplantae; Streptophyta; Magnoliopsida; Brassicales; Brassicaceae
Source: RNAcentral
AUCCCAGAGAUUGAAGAUGUGCCC